UGGCUCAGGAUGAACGCUGGCGGCGUGCCUAACACAUGCAAGUCGAACGGAGUUAAUUUUUCAGAACUCUUCGGAGGGACGAAGCUUUAACUUAGUGGCGGACGGGUGAGUAACGCGUGAGCAACCUGCCUUUCAGAGGGGGAUAACGGCUGGAAACGGUCGCUAAUACCGCAUAACAUAUAUUUAAGGCAUCUUAGAUAUAUCAAAGCUGAGGCGCUGAAAGAUGGGCUCGCGUCCGAUUAGAUAGUUGGUGAGGUAACGGCUCACCAAGUCGGCGAUCGGUAGCCGGACUGAGAGGUUGAACGGCCACAUUGGGACUGAGACACGGCCCAGACUCCUACGGGAGGCAGCAGUGGGGAAUA
RNAcentral lists this ribosomal RNA (362 nucleotides) under uncultured rumen bacterium. Its description in RNAcentral is "bacterial SSU rRNA". It matches the Rfam family "Bacterial small subunit ribosomal RNA", at positions 20 to 363 of the family's 1533-position model. The record is from RNAcentral.